This 50-nucleotide transfer RNA is filed under the name Isopterygiella pulchella. RNAcentral describes it as "tRNA-Leu". Lineage: Eukaryota; Viridiplantae; Streptophyta; Bryopsida; Hypnales; Plagiotheciaceae. The record is from RNAcentral.
UGAGGGUUCAAGUCCCUCUACCCCCAAAACUAUAAUUUUUUAUUGACAUA